UGAGGUCCAUUGUGGCAACAUUUCUUCUGUUUUUCAUUGUUCUCUCUCCCAUGGUGAUGUUACCAUCUGAGGCAGCAAGACCAUCUCGAGGUAAUUAAAGCUUGUUAAUUAAGAGUAUACACUAACGGUGUGUAUAUUAUCAUAAUUAAAUGUAUAAUACAUAUACAAAAUUUGAGUUUCGAUCUCAAAUUUAGAUUCGUUAUCAUAUAUCAUAUGGUAACAGUGUAUGUGCUAUUAGUGUACAACAGAUUAAUCCAUUAAUAUAUAUCUUAUCAAAUUAACUUUAUUUGUCAUGUUAGUUGAUCUUUUCUUUGUCCUGUUUAUGCAUCCAGGACUUCGUCAAAAUUGUCCUGCUUGUGUUUGUUGUGCACCACCUCCACAACCAGGCUUUUGUUGCCGCUGUUUCUGUGGUGCACCUAGUGGUCCUAUCCAAGGAGAAAUUCAAAGCAAUAUGCCAUGAGGGCACCAUGCAGCUUGCUUGCCAUGAUCUGUUGGCAUUGAGUUAUAUUUGUGAGGAAAGAUGUAUGGAAUUAAUUAAGAUAUCAUGCAGAAUCAGUAGAGUUUGUUAUAACAAUAAAGGAGUAAUUCUAGUACUCCCACAUUUAAUUUGAAGAUCUUUACUUUGAUCGAAUGUAAUUUGGCUAACUUUUGAUGGAUGUUCU
Molecule: long non-coding RNA, 662 nt
Filed under: Coffea arabica (coffee)
Lineage: Eukaryota; Viridiplantae; Streptophyta; Magnoliopsida; Gentianales; Rubiaceae
Description: long non-coding RNA (CARA_LNC002840)
Source: RNAcentral